UCCACGCCCUAAACGAUGAACACUAGUCAUCGGGAUGCUAGUCAUCUCGGUGAUGCACUUAACAGAUUAAGUGUUCCGCCUGGGGAGUACGGUCGCAAGAUUAAAACUCAAAGGAGUAGACGGGGACCCGCACAAGUGGUGGAGCAUUGGUUUAAUUCGAAAAUACGCGAAGAACCUUACCUAGCCUUGACAUUGAUUGAAUUCCGCAGAGAUGUGGAAGUGCCCUUCGGGGAACAUGAAAACAGGUGCUGCACGGCUGUCGUCAGCUCGUGUCGUGAGAUGUUGGGUUAAGUCCCG
RNAcentral lists this ribosomal RNA (297 nucleotides) under uncultured bacterium. RNAcentral describes it as "partial 16S ribosomal RNA". It matches the Rfam family "Bacterial small subunit ribosomal RNA", at positions 794 to 1089 of the family's 1533-position model. The record is from RNAcentral.